UGUAACUUUACUUACUUUCAGUAGUCACAAUAUCGUCACUCCAUUAACACUUUGAUUGAAGAUGGGGUUGAAACUUAGGACAAGUGUUACCAUAGUUUGUAUCGUCUUGAUAUUGAUAGGAAGAACAUCCGCUGUUAUCUGCACAAAGCAAUGUAUUACGACUGCCCUUGGAUGUUCUGAUAAUUGUAGAUUCGUUCAGCUUUAUGAUAAUUACAAGCGUUGUGUGGAUAUCUGUCUAGUGAAAUGUUUUAAGUGUGAGCUACAUUGCAAUGACUCUAACUACUCGUGCAAAGAUUACUUUAAUAUUAUUUGAAACAUUGACUUCUAUUGAUUAAAAUUAUUUCUUUUAUACAUA
Mytilus californianus (California mussel) is the source of this 355-nucleotide long non-coding RNA. RefSeq lists it as uncharacterized. Lineage: Eukaryota; Metazoa; Mollusca; Bivalvia; Mytilida; Mytilidae. The transcript is spliced from 2 exons. The record is from RefSeq and is a predicted model, not a curated record.